This 485-nucleotide ribosomal RNA is filed under the name uncultured bacterium. RNAcentral describes it as "bacterial SSU rRNA". It matches the Rfam family "Bacterial small subunit ribosomal RNA", at positions 380 to 883 of the family's 1533-position model. The record is from RNAcentral.
AAGCUGACGGAGAAAGACCGGGUGGGGGAAGAAGGCUCUUGGGUUGUAAACCCCUUUUCUCUGGGAAGAACAAAAUGACGGUACCAGAGGAAUCAGCAUCGGCUAACUCCGUGCCAGCAGCCGCGGUAAGACGGAGGAUGCAAGCGUUAUCCGGAAUGAUUGGGCGUAAAGCGUCCGCAGGUGGCAGUUCAAGUCUGCUGUCAAAGACCGGGGCUUAACCUCGGAAAGGCAGUGGAAACUGAACAGCUAGAGUAUGGUAGGGGCAAAGGGUGUGCCUGGUGUAGCGGUGAAAUGCGUAGAGAUCAGGAAGAACAUCGGUGGCGAAGGCGCUUUGCUGGACCAUAACUGACACUCANGGACCAAAGCUANGGGANCGAAUGGGAUUAGAUNCCCCAGUAUCCUANCCGUAAACCAUCGAUACUACGUGUUGUCUGUCUCACCCCCANCCCCCAAGCUACGCCUUANGUAUCCCGCCUGGGCACUAC